UGGGGGGUAGUUUAAUAAAAACAGUAGCUUUGGGUGUUACAGAUCUGAGUCUUUUCAGCCUUUCAA
This 66-nucleotide transfer RNA is filed under the name Loripes lacteus. RNAcentral describes it as "tRNA-Pro". Lineage: Eukaryota; Metazoa; Mollusca; Bivalvia; Lucinida; Lucinidae. The record is from RNAcentral.